GGCGUGGCAUACUGAGAUGGAAUCCAAUAGAGCACAAUAAUUUGCUAAGUGGGUUAAUAUUUAAAGGGGCGCUUUAGAAUCCUGCUUCUAAACAAUAACACGACAUGUCCUCGUCUACCCUUACCAAAAGAGGCUUCUGUAGUACUAGCUAGUCCAGGGUGGCUAACUGUGAGAAGGUUAGUGCUACGAGUGUCUAAGCGACUACAAGGAAAUUACAACUCAAUGUAAACUAACAGACGGACCAGCGAGAAAGGUUGAAUUGGGAAUGCCAAUCACUGAUAACUUUUUUAUAAAAAGAUUAUUUAAAACAUCAACUUAAAACAUUAACUGCUGAUGUCUAGUGAUAAUUUCUGCUUAUUUUUCUGCUAGUAGUAAAGAACAAAUAUUUUAUAUUUCCCCUUAAAGCAAUUCACUGUGUUUGUGUAUAAUAACCCCAAAACAGAUAACAAGAAUUUGUUUCUGCAGGCUCUUGUGGAUCCAUGUGCUGGUAGGGGAGUGGAAUGGGUCAAAGGUUAUCCAAACAACAAAUCGGUAACGACUGAAAAAUCAGAUACAAAGUUGUAUGUGUGCAUUGAUCCCAAUGGCUAUUCAGGAAAACUGCACCUUACUCCAAAUGGCUGGCGAUGUCUCAUAGGAUUUGGGAAUCAGGGUCAUGCUCACGAUGACUACUCCAUACUUCAACAAAAGCCAUGCAUGUAAGGCAUCUACAAUGACUGUCUCACUGCAGAACCACACCUCCUUUCAGUAAUGAAGGUUAUGAAUCACAACGGUUAUGAAUACUCAUUAUUACAUUACAUAAUAGGCAGUGAAGUUUUAUUAUUUGUACAAAUUAUUCUGGAGUUUUAUGCUUUUGCUUGCAACGCAAGUGGCAAACCUUUUAAUAGUAAUCUCAUAGUGAAUAUGAUGAAAGAGGAAUGAAACAUCAUAUGGACUUUAGACAGAAGAGGGGAUGUCCUCAAAUGUACACUAUAGAGAAGAUCCUUAUACAAAAAAAAAUAUUAUGUGAGAAUUUGAAUGCUUGCUUAUAUGCGCAAAUUCAUGACAUGUAUGCUACACUCAGUGUUCCAGAAUCAAUAAACAGCAUAUUAUGUGUUGUUUUCACUCUAAAAAAAAUUAAGCCUCAAACUCAUUGUUUUCAUAGAAAUAUGUAUUCUUACUUGCAAAGAUUUAGCUGGUAGCUGCUUUAUUAAGAAAAUAAUUUACUUGUAUGAAGAAGGCGGUGGUGGUGUGGGAGUGCUUUUCUGGUGUAUGAGCUGAGGGGACAAGGAAUGUUAAUUAUAUGUAUGUGUAAGAUAUAACUUAGAGGCUUGGCAUUCUUUGUUUAGUCAUACCAUAUAACUAUUCUUCUGUUUCCAUGGAGAUGGAUAACUUACUAGACACGACAAUCCUGGGACGUUGAUUUAUAACACCAUCUAACCUAAUGUCAACUGUUAGAUGGUGGGAAUCAGCAGAGAGAAACUAACACUGGUGAGAGCUGUGAUAGUAACAUCUGGAGACAUGUACUAUGACUGAUGAAUUAACACUGAAGAAGUCUCUAUAUCUGAUUCAUUCUUUCACCUGUGCAAAUCUACAUGAACAGCUAGUAACCUAACAGUUAUGUAGAUCAAACACUGGGG
Esox lucius (northern pike) is the source of this 1616-nucleotide long non-coding RNA. NCBI's taxonomy places the organism in Eukaryota, Metazoa, Chordata, Actinopteri, Esociformes, Esocidae. The record is from Ensembl.